Molecule: ribosomal RNA, 451 nt
Filed under: uncultured bacterium
Lineage: Bacteria
Description: bacterial SSU rRNA
Rfam family: Bacterial small subunit ribosomal RNA
Source: RNAcentral
GUCGAGGAUCAUUGGCAAUGCGCGAAAGCGUGACCAUGCGACGCUGCGUGGAGGAUGAAGGCCUUCGGGUUGUAAACUCCUGUCAUGAGGGAAAAGAGACUCCGGUGUGAAUAUCACCGGAGUGCGAUUGUACUUCAGGAGGAAGCCACGGCUAACUCUGUGCCAGCAGCCGCGGUAAUACAGAGGUGGCGAGCGUUGUUCGGAUUUACUGGGCGUAAAGGGUGCGUAGGUGGUUCCGUAUGUCGGAUGUGAAAUCCCACGGCCUAACCGUGGAAUUGCGUCCGAAACUACGGUGCUAGAGUGCAGGAGGGGAGAGCGGAAUUCUUGGUGUAGCGGUGAAAUGCGUUGAUAUCAAGAAGAACACCGGUGGCGAAGGCGGCUCUCUGGAAUGCAACUGACACUGAGGCACGAAAGCUGGGGGAGCAAACAGGAUUAGAAACCCCGGUAGUCC